Molecule: long non-coding RNA, 252 nt
Organism: Brassica rapa (field mustard)
Lineage: Eukaryota; Viridiplantae; Streptophyta; Magnoliopsida; Brassicales; Brassicaceae
Source: RefSeq, a predicted model, not a curated record
UUUCAAAAGAUCAAGAAUCGCUUAUAGAUUUGAAUCUGAGUAACCGCUGGCCUCACCCAGACGAUACACUCCUCAAGUCGUUAGACUCAACUCAAAUCUACAAGCUACCUCCUUUCUUAGCCAACAAGUUGGCUUUAUACAAUUCGAAUACAAAGCAUUAGAAAGACUCUAAUUCAAAACAAGUAUCUCCUUCUUUAUUUGAAUUAUCUUCCGCCACGUCAGACUCCAACGGCUUCCUUCUCUCCCGUCUUC